GCUGAAACCAACAUAGGGGAGAAACAAGCACAUCUGAGAACUAGAGAGAAUUAUGUUAAAAUUUAGGAGCAUCACCUUAAUGCUUUACUUUUCCAAAGCUGUCUGGAGUAAUCUUUUGGGUCUAGAUGAUCCUUUGCUCAAGGAAAACCAUCAGCAUGUUGCUUUAGUUUAGAAUAGAUGCAACAUAAACCUUCUUUGGGAGUGGAGAUGCUCGAGACAGUGUGGCUUCCUCGACCUCAACGGUUUUGUCUGAUUUUAAAGAUGAGGAAAUUGAGAAGUAUCUUAACCAUUACUGAAUAUUGCUUUGCUCAUCCUGAACAUGAAAGAGUCUCAGAGGCAUCUUGGGGACAUGAAAGCUAGAAGACGUUUUUCUGUGGAACCCCAGAAUCUCAACGCCAAAGUCCAGCACAGGAACCCCAGUGACCUGCUGACUGGGAAUCGCCUCGAACAGAACCUCAGGUCCCAGUCACAAGACCCCAGGCCAGCUUUCCCAUGCAAUAGCGACAUUGUGAGUUUCAGUGUCUGGCCUCAUAAUUUAUCCUUGG
This is a long non-coding RNA of Lemur catta (Ring-tailed lemur), 545 nucleotides long. RefSeq lists it as uncharacterized. NCBI's taxonomy places the organism in Eukaryota, Metazoa, Chordata, Mammalia, Primates, Lemuridae. The record is from RefSeq and is a predicted model, not a curated record. The transcript has 3 exons.